UUAUGGUGGGCACUCUAAGGAGACUGCCGGUGACAAACCGGAGGAAGGUGGGGAGUGACGUCAAGUCAUCAUGGCCCUUACGGCCUGGGCUACACACGUGCUACAAUGGUCGGUACAAAGGGUUGCCAAGCCGCGAGGUGGAGCUAAUACCCAUAAAACCGAUCGUAGUCCGGAUCGCAGUCUGCAACUCGACUGCGUGAAGUCGGAAUCGCUAGUAAUCGUGAAUCAGAAUGUCACGGUGAAUACGUUCCCGGGCCUU
This 259-nucleotide ribosomal RNA is filed under the name uncultured Pseudomonas sp. RNAcentral describes it as "partial 16S ribosomal RNA". It matches the Rfam family "Bacterial small subunit ribosomal RNA", at positions 1126 to 1382 of the family's 1533-position model. Lineage: Bacteria; Pseudomonadati; Pseudomonadota; Gammaproteobacteria; Pseudomonadales; Pseudomonadaceae. The record is from RNAcentral.